CCUACGGGUGGCAGCAGUGAGGAAUAUUGGUCAAUGGACGCGAGCCUGAACCAGCCAAGUAGCGUGAAGGAUGACUGCCCUAUGGGUUGUAAACUUCUUUUAUCAAGGAAUAAAACGAGCCACGCGUGCCUUUUUGCGUGUACUUUAUGAAUAAGCAUCGGCUAACUCCGUGCCAGCAGCCGCGGUAAUACGGAGGAUUCGAGCGUUAUCCGGAUUUAUUGGGUUUAAAGGGUGCGUAGAUGGGUUGUUAAGUCAGUUGUGAAAGUUUGCGGCUCAACCGUAAAAUUGCAAUUGAUACUGGCAGUCUUGAGUACAGUUGAGGUAGGCGGAAUUCGUGGUGUAGCGGUGAAAUGCUUAGAUAUCACGAAGAACCCCGAUUGCGAAGGCAGCUUACUAAACUGUGACUGACAUUGAUGCUCGAAAGUGUGGGUAUCAAACAGGAUUAGAUACCCUUGUAGUC
This 460-nucleotide ribosomal RNA is filed under the name uncultured bacterium. Its description in RNAcentral is "partial 16S ribosomal RNA". It matches the Rfam family "Bacterial small subunit ribosomal RNA", at positions 338 to 795 of the family's 1533-position model. The record is from RNAcentral.